UAUAUUAAGGUGUUUUGCAUUGAGAAUUUUGAUUUCUCGGGUAAUAGAAGAAUUUCUAUUUAAUAUAA
This 68-nucleotide transfer RNA is filed under the name Neotrogla sp. 5 KY-2017. RNAcentral describes it as "tRNA-Gln". Lineage: Eukaryota; Metazoa; Arthropoda; Insecta; Psocodea; Prionoglarididae. The record is from RNAcentral.